Molecule: ribosomal RNA, 253 nt
Filed under: uncultured bacterium
Lineage: Bacteria
Description: partial 16S ribosomal RNA
Rfam family: Bacterial small subunit ribosomal RNA
Source: RNAcentral
UACGUAGGGGGCUAGCGUUAUCCGGAAUUACUGGGCGUAAAGGGGGCGUAGGCGGACUUUUAAGUGAGAUGUGAAAUACUCGGGCUCAACUUGAGUGCUGCAUUUCAAACUGGAAGUCUAGAGUGCAGGAGAGGAGAAUGGAAUUCCUAGUGUAGCGGUGAAAUGCGUAGAGAUUAGGAAGAACACCAGUGGCGAAGGCGAUUCUCUGGACUGUAACUGACGCUGAGGCUCGAAAGCGUGGGGAGCAAACAGG